UACGGGGGGGGCAAGCGUUGUUCGGAAUUACUGGGCGUAAAGGGCUCGUAGGCGGCCAACUAAGUCCGACGUGAAAUCCCCAGGCUUAACCUGGGAACUGCGUCGGAUACUGGAUGGCUUGAAUUCGGGAGAGGGAUGCAGAAUUCCAGGUGUAGCGGUGAAAUGCGUAGAUAUCUGGAGGAAUACCGGUGGCGAAGGCGGCAUCCUGGACCGACAUUGACGCUGAUGAGCGAAAGCAUGGGGAGCGAACAGG
This 253-nucleotide ribosomal RNA is filed under the name uncultured bacterium. RNAcentral describes it as "partial 16S ribosomal RNA". It matches the Rfam family "Bacterial small subunit ribosomal RNA", at positions 524 to 776 of the family's 1533-position model. The record is from RNAcentral.